UUACCGAGAACUGAUAUUCAAAGAAAUCAAUUGUUACGGUUUUUAACGUUGGGUGCGAUCAUGACCUAGGUUACGUACAUGUUAACAGUUUAUCAGUAAUAUAAAUCUCAUCAUGAAAAUUGACAUUUCUUAAAA
Molecule: long non-coding RNA, 135 nt
Organism: Xenia sp. Carnegie-2017
Lineage: Eukaryota; Metazoa; Cnidaria; Anthozoa; Malacalcyonacea; Xeniidae
Exons: 2
Source: RefSeq, a predicted model, not a curated record